This 274-nucleotide ribosomal RNA is filed under the name uncultured bacterium. Its description in RNAcentral is "partial 16S ribosomal RNA". It matches the Rfam family "Bacterial small subunit ribosomal RNA", at positions 523 to 796 of the family's 1533-position model. The record is from RNAcentral.
AUACGGAGGGUGCAAGCGUUACUCGGAAUUACUGGGCGUAAGGGGCGCGUAGGCGGUUUGAUAAGUCAGAUGUGAAAGCCCGAGGCUUAACCUCGGAAGUGCAUUUGAAACUGUCAAACUUGAGUAUGGGAGAGGGAAGUGGAAUUCCUGGUGUAGAGGUGAAAUUCGUAGAUAUCAGGAGGAACACCGGUGGCGAAGGCGACUUCCUGGACCAAUACUGACGCUGAGGCGCGAAGGCGUGGGGAGCAAACAGGAUUAGAAACCCCGGUAGUCC